UACGUAGGGAGCAAGCGUUGUCCGGAAUUACUGGGCGUAAAGAGCUCGUAGGUGGUUUGUCGCGUUGUUCGUGAAAUCUCACGGCUUAACUGUGAGCGUGCGGGGGAUACGGGCAGACUAGAGUGCGGUAGGGGAGACUGGAACUCCUGGUGUAGCGGUGAAAUGCGCAGAUAUCAGGAGGAACACCGGUGGCGAAGGCGGGUCUCUGGGCCGUAACUGACGCUGAGGAGCGAAAGCGUGGGGAGCGAACAGG
Molecule: ribosomal RNA, 253 nt
Filed under: uncultured bacterium
Lineage: Bacteria
Description: partial 16S ribosomal RNA
Rfam family: Bacterial small subunit ribosomal RNA
Source: RNAcentral